UUUUUUUUAUUAUUCUUUGUUACAAAGGCUUAAUACCCUGAGUUACAGUGUGCCAGACUGCAAAGUCAACACAACAAUUUUGUGGACGGUUAAAAUUUCUCCACAAUCUGCUUUUGAAGAAAUAUCGCAGUAUCGCGCUACAGCGCACAUUCUAUCAGUUGCAGCCUCCGUCACAUUUGAUGAACUUUACACAGUUAUUGAACUGAACUGAAAUGACUUGAGAUGAAUAAUAACAUUAUUGUCCUGUACAGCAGAAUUUAAGUUUGCCUCAUAUUUGAAGUUUGUAUAUUUGAUUGUUAUUUUCCUACUGAAACUACUUUGAAAUGAUCUCUACUGUAUAAAGCGCUAGAAAAAGGUAACUUGACGAUAUAAUUCAAACUUAAAGACAUUUUGCACCGAUAUUAGAUGAAUAGUUCACCCAAAAAUGAAAACUAACUGUUAAUUUACACACCCUGGGGCCAGUGUAGGUGACUUACUUUCUUCAGCAGAACUUUAAAGAUGAUUUUUUGCUGAAUCCAUACUUGGCGACUCCUGAAGAUAUACUGAGAUCCUAUGAAGUGAAACAAUCAGCCUGUGCAAGAAAAUAUUUACAGCAUUAUUACCUAUAAUCCAUAGCCUCAAGCAAACAGUCCUGGAGUACAAGCUUUCUGUUGCAUGCUGAUGUACAGUAUGUGCAGCAAAUCACACAUGAACUCUGACACCAUUCUAAAGACCUCAUCAAGAGCCACAGGCAUUCAUUUUAUUUUUCCUGUUACUGCUAUUUUAACUCUCAAAGUGACGGAACCCAUUGACUUGCAUUUUAUGAUUCACCAAGGACCAUGGAUUCAGCUAAAAAUAUUUUUUAAUGUUUUGCUGUAGAAAGAAAGUAAUUUACAUCUUGGAUGUCCCGAGGGGGCAAACUGAACCAUUCCAGCCAAACCUUGACCCCACAGAUUCUCUCACCAGUGAGUGCAGAACGAGCAAGGAGAUUGAAAACCUUGAGUCGAUCUUGACAGUUAAAUCCAUCAUAUGGAUUCAUCUUCUCCAUUGGCCACGAGGAGAACCAAUUUGGCAAUAGAUCAGCAUUUUUGUGAAAAGCAGACUGCCUCAGUAUACGAGGAACCAAAGAGCAAAACACAAAAAAUGUCUUUCACAUACUUGAAGUCAACAUGAAACUGCAUUUUUUUGCACAAUUUAAGUUCUAACAUGUAUUACCAUGAUGUAUUGUGAUGUAUUUCCAAAUAAAACUGAACAUUCACAAGAAAAUAAUGUAGAACUUAUCCAUUGGAAUUUAAUUGGAUGGUGAAACUCGGGCUGACGCAGAUUUUGCAGUCUAUUGAGGGGGAUUACUCAACACCUGAAACACCACCAUCAUUUUUUGGAGAUUUAAGUGGCAUCAACCAAAGAAAAGUUGUUUCAGAGGUGGAUUAACAUGCACCAAUGAAUUGUGCACAAUAAGACCAGGAAUGUUUACUAAGUAGAUUAAUUUAGACUUUUUGACAAUAAGAAUCAGCAUCUGCAAAGUAUUUAACUUAAUUUUUUUAUGCAUUUCUGAGUUAAACAAUAUUUGGUGAGAAAAAUAAUUAUAUGAUAGGACUAUUCAUCCUAUUAGGAUCUGAUUGGAUCAUGCAAAAAUGUAAUUUUAUUGGCUAAUAUUAAUUUUCUUCACCUGUUCUGCCUUGAAACAAAAGUGUUUUCAAUAAAGGAAUAUUUAAAAAAAUUUGAUUUACACUACCGUUUAAAAGUUUGGGGGUCGGUUAAGUGUUUUCUAAUCUUUUACUUUUAAUCAGAAAGGAUGCACU
Cyprinus carpio carpio is the source of this 1781-nucleotide long non-coding RNA. NCBI's taxonomy places the organism in Eukaryota, Metazoa, Chordata, Actinopteri, Cypriniformes, Cyprinidae. The record is from Ensembl.